GGCGCAUCUUUACUUGCCUUAAACACACCGCUCGUCACGCGAGAUA
This 46-nucleotide ribosomal RNA is filed under the name Cyclospora cayetanensis. Its description in RNAcentral is "small subunit ribosomal RNA". The record is from RNAcentral. RNAcentral also lists the same sequence under 8 other names. Lineage: Eukaryota; Apicomplexa; Conoidasida; Eucoccidiorida; Eimeriidae.